This 427-nucleotide ribosomal RNA is filed under the name uncultured bacterium. Its description in RNAcentral is "partial 16S ribosomal RNA". It matches the Rfam family "Bacterial small subunit ribosomal RNA", at positions 355 to 774 of the family's 1533-position model. The record is from RNAcentral.
UGGGGAAUAUUGCACAAUGGGCGCAAGCCUGAUGCAGCCAUGCCGCGUGUAUGAAGAAGGCCUUCGGGUUGAAAAGUACUUUCAGCGAGGAGGAAGGCGUUGUGGUUAAUAACCGCAACGAUUGACGUUACUCGCAGAAGAAGCACCGGCUAACUCCGUGCCAGCAGCCGCGGUAAUACGGAGGGUGCAAGCGUUAAUCGGAAUUACUGGGCGUAAAGCGCACGCAGGCGGUCUGUCAAGUCGGAUGUGAAAUCCCCGGGCUCAACCUGGGAACUGCAUCCGAAACUGGCAGGCUAGAGUCUUGUAGAGGGGGGUAGAAUUCCAGGUGUAGCGGUGAAAUGCGUAGAGAUCUGGAGGAAUACCGGUGGCGAAGGCGGCCCCCUGGACAAAGACUGACGCUCAGGUGCGAAAGCGUGGGGAGCAAACA